RNAcentral lists this ribosomal RNA (613 nucleotides) under uncultured bacterium. Its description in RNAcentral is "bacterial SSU rRNA". It matches the Rfam family "Bacterial small subunit ribosomal RNA", at positions 56 to 663 of the family's 1533-position model. The record is from RNAcentral.
UGCAAGUCGAACGAGAGGCCGUAGCAAUACGGUCGUACAGUGGCGAACGGGUGAGGAAGACGUGGGUAACCUACCCUCGAGUGGGGAAUAACCCGCCGAAAGGCGGGCUAAUACCGCGUACGCUUCUGUUCCUUCGGGGACGGAAGGAAAGCUGUGCCGUGGGCAUGGCGCUCAAGGAUGGGCUCACGCCCUAUCAGCUUGUUGGUAGGGUAACGGCCUACCAAGGCAACGACGGGUAGCUGGUCUGAGAGGACGAUCAGCCACACUGGCACUGCGACACGGGCCAGACUCCUACGGGAGGCAGCAGUGAGGAAUAUUGCGCAAUGGGCGAAAGCCUGACGCAGCGACGCCGCGUGGGGGAUGAAAGUCUUCGGAUUGUAAACCCCUUUCGGGAGGGAAGAUGGAACGGGCAACCGUUCGGACGGUACCUCCAGAAGAAGCCACGGCUAACUUCGUGCCAGCAGCCGCGGUAAUACGAAGGUGGCAAGCGUUGUUCGGAUUUACUGGGCGUAAAGGGAGCGUAGGCGGUUGGGUAAGCCCUUUGGGAAAGCUCCCGGCUAAACCGGGAAAGGUCGAAGGGGACUGCCUGGCUAGAGGGUGGGAGAGGAGCGCG